GCAUAUAGGAAUUGUCAGGAACCAAUUGCCCGCAGACUACGAAUCUGGGGGUCGGGAGUUCGAAUCUUCCCCGGUGCGCCA
This 81-nucleotide transfer RNA is filed under the name Paracoccaceae bacterium. Its description in RNAcentral is "tRNA-Arg". The record is from RNAcentral. Lineage: Bacteria; Pseudomonadati; Pseudomonadota; Alphaproteobacteria; Rhodobacterales; Paracoccaceae.